UGGCUGGGGAAUUACCGUGUAAUGCAAGGCAGCUGUUCAUGCAUCUGAAAGCUCUGCUUGCAUAGUGAAAAGAAACCUGCGCUGGGGAGAAGGAGUGUGACAGGAACAGCAGGGAUCCUGGGCUGGCUGCUCAAAGGAACGACAAUGAGGAUUUUAUGAGUCUGCAUCAGAGCCCUGUAGCCAUUCUCUCCACCACAGAAGGAGGACUCGACCCAGGGAGUGCAGGAACAUCAAAACGACGUCAGCAUUUCACUUUUGAUUCGAAGGUCUUGGAGCGUUUCAAAGGGACAGGAGCAGACUGGAGGGACAGACCAACAGGAACCUGACAAAAUCCAGCAAGGACAAACACAAGUUCUGCACUUUGGAGGUUAUCAGCAUCCAUUACCCUAAGAAUGCCAACAUGGAUGGACCUUCAGGUGGGCUCUGAAAGGGACUGAAUCCACAGGGAGACGGAUCCAGCUGGCUGGUG
Molecule: long non-coding RNA, 469 nt
Organism: Myiozetetes cayanensis
Lineage: Eukaryota; Metazoa; Chordata; Aves; Passeriformes; Tyrannidae
Exons: 3
Source: RefSeq, a predicted model, not a curated record